RNAcentral lists this ribosomal RNA (274 nucleotides) under uncultured bacterium. RNAcentral's name for it is "partial 16S ribosomal RNA". It matches the Rfam family "Bacterial small subunit ribosomal RNA", at positions 523 to 796 of the family's 1533-position model. The record is from RNAcentral.
AUACGGGGGGCACGAGCGUUGUUCGGAAUUAUUGGGCGUAAAGGGCGCGUAGGCGGCCGAUCAAGUGGUAGGUGAAAUCCCUCGGCUCAACCGAGGAACUGCCUACCAAACUGACUGGCUUGAGUCCGGGAGAGGUGAGUGGAAUUCCCAGUGUAGCGGUGAAAUGCGUAGAUAUUGGGAGGAACACCGGUGGCGAAGGCGGCUCACUGGACCGGAACUGACGCUGAGGCGCGAAAGCGUGGGGAGCAAACGGGAUUAGAAACCCCGGUAGUCC